Molecule: non-coding RNA, 1199 nt
Organism: Lepisosteus oculatus (spotted gar)
Lineage: Eukaryota; Metazoa; Chordata; Actinopteri; Semionotiformes; Lepisosteidae
Source: RefSeq, a predicted model, not a curated record
UGCCCAGGGUGUGUUCUUCCUUGUGGCCCUUGCCUGCUGCAGCUCUCCCACACGACCCUGUACCUGAUAAAGUUGGAUGGAACACAAGACAGGUCUCAAACGAGACGAGGCCACUCGGUUCAUCCAACCUGUUUGGUAAUUAGUUUUGUAAUUAGUGGCUCAUUAACCCCAAGAUCUCAUCCAGCUGUUUCUUGAGAGCAGCCAGGGUAUCGGCUUCAGGAACAUGGCUGGGCAGCUUGUUACACACUCCCACCACUCUUUGUGUAAAGAAGGGAAAACUCAUAGGCUUCUCUAUUUGUCAGUGUACGAAACUGUCAAACCCCAGAAUGUAUCAGGUUGCAAUAUCUAUUGCACAUUGUCUGAUGAAUUUAAAUUAAUUGCACUUAUGUAUCACAUUUCAGUUAACUCUUGAAUUUGUUACCAGAAAAGAGGAAAAAUAAAUUAACUGGACCGUAUCCUUCCACUUACUGCGAGGUGACGUCAGGAUCAGCCAAUCACCGUGUGGGAUGCGGUGACAGACGGAUUGAUGUCACUUCAGAGAGUGACAGUUCUGGAGCUCCGCUUCCACCCGUCGGACGGCCAUUUUGGCUCCAGUUUCCAACUGCGCGCUGGCAAUCCAUGUCAACGAGGAAGCAAAAUGGCGCCCUUGGGUGGCUGGGUGUCCUUGGCGAUGGGCCGGUCAUGUGACCGCGGCGGGGGCAAAGCUCGUCGAUGUAAACAACAUGGCGACUCGGAGAGAAAAGACCGGGGCCUACCUGGGGAUUAUUCCUUAACGUAAACUCAAGCAGUGACAAUAAAAAAAAACCCAAGCAGUAUCGAUUCGCUAGUAUUGAUAAGCCUAUUGAUUGUUAAAGGAAGAACGUGCAAGACAACAACGCGAUCCGCGAACGAAGCCCUAAAUACAAAUUUCACCAGUGGACGCUCACCCUGACACGCAGGAAGUGGACUGCAGUGAGAUCAGGACUCGGAUCCUCUUGGCCACGGCCUCCUCAGGGUCCCGGAGUCCCCGCAGCUUCACUCAGAUGCUCAGAGAGAGGGAGCAGGGUCGCUGCCUGGGCUCCAGUUUCUCUCACGGAGAGUGCAGCAACAUCCGCUCACAUUUCCUGCCCAACUAUGUGACGUACAAGGACAUCUAUCAGCAGAAGGUGUUCUGUGGAGUUUACUCUGAGGAUGGCAGACUGUUCCUCUCGGCCUGCCAG